This 1237-nucleotide ribosomal RNA is filed under the name metagenome. RNAcentral describes it as "bacterial LSU rRNA". It matches the Rfam family "Bacterial large subunit ribosomal RNA", at positions 1564 to 2814 of the family's 2925-position model. The record is from RNAcentral.
UGAAUACGAGACGCUAAGGCGUCGAAGUAGUGUAUGUCAUACUUCCAAGAAAAGCUUGCACUGUCAUAGAUAAAAAACGCCUGUACCAUAACCGACACGUGGGUAGGUAGAGUAUACUAAGGGGCGCGAGAUAACUCUCUCUAAGGAACUCGGCAAAAUAACUCCGUAACUUCGGGAGAAGGAGUGCCUUAUUCGUAAGGUUGCAAUAACAAGAUCCAAGCAACUGUUUAUCAAAAACACAGGUCUCCGCUAAGUCGUAAGACGAUGUAUGGGGGCUGACGCCUGCCCAGUGCCAGAAGGUUAAAGAAGUUGGUUAGCAAUUGCGAAGCUGAUAACUGAAGCCCUGGUGAACGGCGGCCGUAACAAUAACGGUCCUAAGGUAGCGAAAUUCCUUGUCGGGUAAGUUCCGACCCGCACGAAAGGCGUAAUGAUUUGGAUACUGUCUCGGAGAGGGGCUCGGUGAAAUAGACUUGUCUGUGAAGAUGCGGACUACCUGCACCAGGACAGAAAGACCCUAUGAAGCUUUACUGUAACUUGAAAUUGAAAUUGGACUUUAUUCGCGCAGCAUAGGUGGGAGGCGUUGAUUAUAAUCUUGCGGGAUUAUUGGAGCCAUCAGUGAGAUACCACUCUUGUAAUGUUAGAUUUCUAACUUUGAAUCAUUAUCUGGUCAAAGAACAGUUUCAGGCGGGCAGUUUGACUGGGGCGGUCGCCUCCUAAACGGUAACGGAGGCGUACAAAGGUUUCCUCUGAACGGUUAGAAAUCGUAUCUAGAGUGUAAAGGCAUAAGGAAGCUUGACUGUGAGACCUACAAGUCGAGCAGGGACGAAAGUCGGUCUUAGUGAUCUGACGGUACUGAGUGGAAAGGCCGUCACUCAACGGAUAAAAGUUACUCUAAGGAUAACAGGCUGAUCUCCCCCAAGAGUUCACAUCGACGGGGAGGUUUGGCACCUCGAUGUCGGCUCAUCGCAUCCUGGGGCGGUAGUACGUCCCAAGGGUUGGGCUGUUCGCCCAAAAGCGGUACGCGAGCUGGGUUCAGAACGUCGUGAGACAGUUCGGUCCAUAUCCGGUGUAGGCGUUAGAAUAUUGAGAGGAGCCUUCUUUAGUACGAGAGGACCGAGAAGGACAUACCUCUGGUGUACCAGUUAUCGUGCCAACGGUAAACGCUGGGUAGCUAUGUAGGGAGUGGAUAACCGCUGAAAGCAUCUAAGUGGGAAGCCCACCUCAAGAUAAGUAGUCC